GGCUGGAUGGUCUAGUGGUAUGAUUCUCGCUUAGGGUGCGAGAGGUCCCGGGUUCAAUUCCCGGUUCAGCCC
Molecule: non-coding RNA, 72 nt
Organism: Culicoides brevitarsis
Lineage: Eukaryota; Metazoa; Arthropoda; Insecta; Diptera; Ceratopogonidae
Source: the annotation of a RefSeq genome assembly